Molecule: ribosomal RNA, 640 nt
Filed under: uncultured bacterium
Lineage: Bacteria
Description: bacterial SSU rRNA
Rfam family: Bacterial small subunit ribosomal RNA
Source: RNAcentral
AGAGAAGCUUGCUUCUCUUGAGAGCGGCGGACGGGUGAGUAAUGCCUAGGAAUCUGCCUGGUAGUGGGGGAUAACGUCCGGAAACGGACGCUAAUACCGCAUACGUCCUACGGGAGAAAGCAGGGGACCUUCGGGCCUUGCGCUAUCAGAUGAGCCUAGGUCGGAUUAGCUAGUUGGUGGGGUAAUGGCUCACCAAGGCGACGAUCCGUAACUGGUCUGAGAGGAUGAUCAGUCACACUGGAACUGAGACACGGUCCAGACUCCUACGGGAGGCAGCAGUGGGGAAUAUUGGACAAUGGGCGAAAGCCUGAUCCAGCCAUGCCGCGUGUGUGAAGAAGGUCUUCGGAUUGUAAAGCACUUUAAGUUGGGAGGAAGGGCAGUAAAUUAAUACUUUGCUGUUUUGACGUUACCGACAGAAUAAGCACCGGCUAACUCUGUGCCAGCAGCCGCGGUAAUACAGAGGGUGCAAGCGUUAAUCGGAAUUACUGGGCGUAAAGCGCGCGUAGGUGGUUCGUUAAGUUGGAUGUGAAAUCCCCGGGCUCAACCUGGGAACUGCAUUCAAAACUGACGAGCUAGAGUAUGGUAGAGGGUGGUGGAAUUUCCUGUGUAGCGGUGAAAUGCGUAGAUAUAGGAAGGAACA